GACGAACGCUGGCGGCGUGCUUAACACAUGCAAGUCGAGCGGUAAGGCCCUUUCGGGGUACGACGAGCGGCGAACGGGUGAGUAACACGUGGGUGACCUGCCCUUAGCUCUGGGAUAAGCCUGGGAAACUGGGUCGUAAUACCGGAUAUGACUCCAUGACGCAUGUUGUGGGGUGGAAAGCCUUGUGCGGCUAGGGAUGGGCCCGCGGCCUAUCAGCUUGUUGGUGGGGUGAUGGCCUACCAAGGCGACGACGGGUAGCCGGCCUGAGAGGGCGACCGGCCACACUGGGACGUGAGACACGGCCCAGACUCCUACGGGAGGCAGGCAGUGGGGAAUCUUGCGCAAUGGGCGAAAGCCUGACGCAGCGACGCCGCGUGAGGGAUGACGGCCUCGGUUGUAACUCUUC
Molecule: ribosomal RNA, 406 nt
Filed under: uncultured bacterium
Lineage: Bacteria
Description: bacterial SSU rRNA
Rfam family: Bacterial small subunit ribosomal RNA
Source: RNAcentral